GCCGGGGUGGUGAAACUGGUAGACACGUUGGAUUCAAAAUCCAAUUUCUUCGGAAGUGCCGGUUCGAUUCCGGCCCUCGGUACCA
RNAcentral lists this transfer RNA (85 nucleotides) under Methylococcaceae bacterium. RNAcentral describes it as "tRNA-Leu". It matches the Rfam family "tRNA". From Rfam's summary of the family: Transfer RNA (tRNA) molecules are approximately 80 nucleotides in length. Their secondary structure includes four short double-helical elements and three loops (D, anti-codon, and T loops). Further hydrogen bonds mediate the characteristic L-shaped molecular structure. tRNAs have two regions of fundamental functional importance: the anti-codon, which is responsible for specific mRNA codon recognition, and the 3' end, to which the tRNAs corresponding amino acid is attached (by aminoacyl-tRNA synthetases). tRNAs cope with the degeneracy of the genetic code in two manners: having more than one tRNA (with a specific anti-codon) for a particular amino acid; and 'wobble' base-pairing, i.e. permitting non-standard base-pairing at the 3rd anti-codon position. Lineage: Bacteria; Pseudomonadati; Pseudomonadota; Gammaproteobacteria; Methylococcales; Methylococcaceae. The record is from RNAcentral. RNAcentral also lists the same sequence under 1 other name.